UACGGGGGGGGCAAGCGUUGUUCGGAAUUACUGGGCGUAAAGGGCGCGUAGGCGGCCAUCUAAGUCAGCCGUGAAAUCCCCCGGCUUAACCUGGGAACUGCGUCUGAUACUGGAAGGCUCGAGUUUGGGAGAGGGAUGUGGAAUUCCAGGUGUAGCGGUGAAAUGCGUAGAUAUCAGGAGGAACACCGGUGGCGAAGGCGGCUACCUGGACGACAACUGACGCUGAGACGCGAAAGCGUGGGGAGCAAACAGG
RNAcentral lists this ribosomal RNA (253 nucleotides) under uncultured bacterium. Its description in RNAcentral is "partial 16S ribosomal RNA". It matches the Rfam family "Bacterial small subunit ribosomal RNA", at positions 524 to 776 of the family's 1533-position model. The record is from RNAcentral.